Molecule: long non-coding RNA, 1880 nt
Filed under: Triticum aestivum (bread wheat)
Lineage: Eukaryota; Viridiplantae; Streptophyta; Magnoliopsida; Poales; Poaceae
Description: long non-coding RNA (TAES_LNC025148)
Source: RNAcentral
ACAAACAAAAAACACACUUAAUACUCCAAAUAUUAUCAGCCAGAUUCAGUACAGAGCUCCUAUUGUACAAAUAACAUAUACUUUACAAGCUCUACACAUAAUAAGCUCUAACAUAUACAAGCUCUACUUGUGAUACUCCAAACAUUCUCCAGAAGCUCUACAAGUAUGGCAAUCACAGUUACAAGCUCCACAUGUGAUACAGUUACAAGCUAUGUUCUUCAGCAUGGAGCUCCUUCAAUAACAAUCACAAAGUAGGCACCUACUCCUGUCAGGACUGGGCCAACAGAACGGUGAUAUGCCUUCCACGGUCACCCUGAUACAUGAAUCAACAGAGAAGAAUUAGGAAAACUGGAGCCAAUAUAGCAAGAAGAGACCAUUCAAAAAAUGACAGCUAUUUAUAUUAGAAUGACGACACAAAUUCAGCUAGUACCAUGAUUUUUGUUCUCCAGCUAGUUAAAAUGAGAUACUCAUUCAUACAAGAAAACAGAGAAAAAUAUGAAUAUGUAUUGCACAAGUGCGAGUCGUGCAAAAAACUUCACUACACCAAAUUGCACCUAAACAAUAAUACCAUUCUACUACCACAACCAUCCAUUCAACAGGCAAGAUCAAACAUUACUAGUCAGAGUACGUAGGCUUAGCAUCACUAACAUCACAAAUACACGAGAGAAUAAAGGGAACCAAGAGAGAUACCUAAGGAUGAUAGCAUCGUGAUGAUUUGGAUUGAGUUAGCAUCUGUGAGGAGGUGAAUUAUCACCAUGGUGUGCUUGAUGAUGCACACAGCCAUGAUCUUACCACCGUUGCAUCCGUGCGCUAGAUCAGGGGGGUACCAAUGCAUUCAAGUAGAACAAAAUCACCAUCGUUAAACCACAACUUUAACUACAAACUAAGUAUGUAUCAAGUAACAACGAAAACAAGUUGAGAAAAACACAGAAAAUAAUUACUUCAUGUCAUGCAGAGUUCAAACUAAAUAAACACAUGCAACGUUCAAACCAAAUAAACAUAUGCAUGAUAUUGUCCUACAGAUGAAAGAAGGACAACAUCUAUAAGGUUAGUCGAGCUUAAUAAAGACAUAGAGAGAGAGAGAGUAAAUGUUCUCAGGUUAGCCUUAACAUGGCAGCCUAACUUGUGCUUAAUUUUGAGCAAACAUACAUAUCAAUACAGGGUUAGGCAAGACAGUAAAGAAAGACAUAGGUGCUAGAGUUAGAAAACACUAGUGAUACAAGUAGCAUAAGCAUAAUACAACACAGUAUAUUUGUUGUGUGGAUAUAUACAUAUAAUUGGCCAUCAUUUUAUCUUCCAAAUUAAUAGUUACCACAGUGAAAACCUUGACAAGAGAAGAUAAACUUUGACAACACAAGGUGAGAUGAAAGAUAGCAAACAACACAUGCCAGCCAUCAAUUUUUAUUCUACUGAACAAAUUGGACAACAACCACCUAUUUUGUAACAACUUCAGUUAACUUGGGAGAAAUCCAACCAAACCAAUUGAUAAACAAAUUUCUACUGAAUUUUGGGGCAUCAAGCAAGCAACCUAAUUGGCAAACAAUGAAAUCAAGCAUGUAAGCAAAUUUGGAGCAGCGCCAAAUCAGGGACCAAGCCUAGUAAACCAAAACAAGGAGAUGCAGAGGGAGGUCUUAACCUAGAGUUGCAUCUUCCCCGCAGCUAGGCGUCUCCUCUCCCUGCAUCCGAGUCGAGUUGGUGAUGUUGCAACCGUGCAGCUGCUCCUGCACAUCACGGAAGGGAAUGGAAGGUAAGGUCAAAAUCUGGAGCCAAUAUAUUAUGAACAUUUCAUUCAGAAAACGAACAAGUUCAUUAGAAUGAUAACACAAAUUCAGCUACGACAAUGCUUCGUUCUCCAGCUAGUUAAAAUGAGAUACUCAUUC